UGGGGAAUAUUGCACAAUGGGCGCAAGCCUGAUGCAGCCAUGCCGCGUGUAUGAAGAAGGCCUUCGGGUUGUAAAGUACUUUCAGCGGGGAGGAAGGGAGUAAAGUUAAUACCUUUGCUCAUUGACGUUACCCGCAGAAGAAGCACCGGCUAACUCCGUGCCAGCAGCCGCGGUAAUACGGAUGGUGCAAGCGUUAAUCGGAAUUACUGGGCGUAAAGCGCACGCAGGCGGUUUGUUAAGUCAGAUGUGAAAUCCCCGGGCUCAACCUGGGAACUGCAUCUGAUACUGGCAAGCUUGAGUCUCGUAGAGGGGGGUAGAAUUCCAGGUGUAGCGGUGAAAUGCGUAGAGAUCUGGAGGAAUACCGGUGGCGAAGGCGGCCCCCUGGACGAAGACUGACGCUCAGGUGCGAAAGCGUGGGGAGCAAACAGG
RNAcentral lists this ribosomal RNA (429 nucleotides) under Chloroflexota bacterium. Its description in RNAcentral is "Chloroflexi bacterium partial 16S ribosomal RNA". It matches the Rfam family "Bacterial small subunit ribosomal RNA", at positions 355 to 776 of the family's 1533-position model. Lineage: Bacteria; Bacillati; Chloroflexota. The record is from RNAcentral.